RNAcentral lists this ribosomal RNA (688 nucleotides) under Trigonostomum mucoreum. RNAcentral describes it as "eukaryotic LSU rRNA". It matches the Rfam family "Eukaryotic large subunit ribosomal RNA", at positions 644 to 1286 of the family's 3401-position model. Lineage: Eukaryota; Metazoa; Arthropoda; Insecta; Coleoptera; Scarabaeidae. The record is from RNAcentral.
GGGACCCGUCUUGAAACACGGACCAAGGAGUCUAGCAUGUGCGCGAGUCAUUGGGACUCUAACGAAACCUAAAGGCGUAAUGAAAGUGAAGGUCCGCCUCGCGCGGACCGAGGGAGGAUGGUCGGUCUUUAGUAGGGACCGUCCCGCACUCCCUGGGCGUCUCGUUCUCAUCGCGAGAAGAGGCGCACCAAGAGCGUACACGCUGGGACCCGAAAGAUGGUGAACUAUGCCUGGUCAGGACGAAGUCAGGGGAAACCCUGAUGGAGGUCCGUAGCGAUUCUGACGUGCAAAUCGAUCGUCGGAACUGGGUAUAGGGGCGAAAGACUAAUCGAACCAUCUAGUAGCUGGUUCCCUCCGAAGUUUCCCUCAGGAUAGCUGGCGCUCGCUUCUCGCGAGUCUCAUUCGGUAAAGCGAAUGAUUAGAGGCAUUGGGGUCGAAACGGCCUCAACCUAUUCUCAAACUUUAAAUGGGUGAGAUCUCCGGCUUGCUUGAACUGUGAAGCCGCGAGAUAUCGGAUCAGAGUGCCAAGUGGGCCACUUUUGGUAAGCAGAACUGGCGCUGUGGGAUGAACCAAACGCCGAGUUAAAGCGCCUAAAUCGACGCUUAUGGGAUACCAUGAAAGGCGUUGGUAACUUAAGACAGCAGGACGGUGGCCAUGGAAGUCGGAAUCCGCUAAGGAGUGUGUAAA